GGUGAAAAUGAAACUGAAAAUGAGAGUCUGAGAUUAAAAACAGACAUUAAAGCAAAGACAAGAUCUUCAACAAAGAGGAAAACUAUAUAUAAAAAAAGAAAAUUUUUUGUUACCAUGCAUUUUCUAUAGAAUAGUAAAAAUAUCGUCAACAUUUCAAAUACAGUUGUUUUUAAUUGCUGCUGCUGUAUAAAGCAACAAUAUCUAAAGGCAAAUUGAAAAUUUAUAACAAAUUGAGAAAUUUGAUUACAAUUUUUUUUAACAAACUCUAAAAAACGUGUUGCUGUCUGUGUUGAGUAUUCAUGGACGACGUAGAUGACAGCGAUGAUGAUGAUGAUCUUUAUGUUAGCAUGUGACCUUUGACCUCUUGCCUUGCAGGGCGACGUUGGGCCCGAGGGAGACGACGGAGCCUCUGGUUUCUCUGGAGCCAUGGGAGAACACGGACUUCCAGGAGACCUGGGCCAGCAUGGAGAGCUGGGUCUGAAGGGCGACGUCGGCAUGGAGGGACCCCGCGGAGGAGUCGGCGCUCCCGGUGAGACUGUAAGGAAACACAAGCGACCUCUUGACCUCUCUGCGGUGGAAACACUCGCCGCAAAUCUAAACUGAACGUUUCUCACUUUACUGCGCCGAAAAAGCACAAACUAUGUUUGUGACACAUCUUCAUUUCAUCACGUGAAUCCGGUUAAAAUCAAUUAUUGUGAUGCUAGUGAGAUUCCACACGUGAUUCACUUUUUAUCACAUUCUUCAGAGUAAAUGGAGGCAGGUGAGAAGAUGGCGGGAAACAGAGAACGAGUGGAGCGUUCAUAUUUGUUAAUGUUUCAGACGUCAAUAUUCUUAUCACCUCAUUG
RNAcentral lists this long non-coding RNA (845 nucleotides) under Scophthalmus maximus (turbot). RNAcentral's name for it is "lncRNA (ENSSMAG00000033500.1)". Lineage: Eukaryota; Metazoa; Chordata; Actinopteri; Pleuronectiformes; Scophthalmidae. The record is from RNAcentral.